CUCUCUCUCUCUCUCUCUCUCUCUCUCUUGUUCUCUUUGAAAUUUUCUUACAAAAUUCAUGAUCCACGAAUAUCUAUCCGUCCAAAUUCAAAUCCGAUUUUGGUAACGUGAUUUACAAAACCCGAUCUACGUUUCUACCGAUUAGUUUGAGGAUUUGCACGGUUUAGAGCCUCCCUAACACUUUUCUAGUAUUGGAUUUCGUUUGGGCAUGUUUUGUAAUGCAUUGCAUGGUGGUGUUUAAGAGACCUAGUGCGUAAUAUUCGCGCAGCCAAGACAUUUAUACUUUGGUUGCAGGUUUUGCGGAUAUAAAUAUUGACUCGUCCACCUAGCAUAUGGGAUGCUAUGAUUGGAGCAUAUCGCGACAGUCGUAAGUCACGGACUCAUGGGUAGUCCGCAUUUUGGGUAUUAUAUUUAUGGCUCGUGUCCUACGUGGCACACGUAUUUGUUAGGCCUGUAUUUUGGUAUGUAAUUAGUGUAAUGUGUUUUAUAAGCCUUAAAUAGAUAGACUUGUAAAUGGCUCUUGUUGUUGAUUACAGUUAUGUAUUAGAUGUAAUUCCGCUAUUGAUAUGUGUUCCGCUGCACAUUGAUAUUUA
Molecule: long non-coding RNA, 593 nt
Organism: Alnus glutinosa
Lineage: Eukaryota; Viridiplantae; Streptophyta; Magnoliopsida; Fagales; Betulaceae
Exons: 4
Source: RefSeq, a predicted model, not a curated record